This 908-nucleotide ribosomal RNA is filed under the name uncultured bacterium. RNAcentral describes it as "bacterial SSU rRNA". It matches the Rfam family "Bacterial small subunit ribosomal RNA", at positions 33 to 932 of the family's 1533-position model. The record is from RNAcentral.
ACGCUGGCGGCAGGCUUAACACAUGCAAGUUGAACGGUAACAGGGAUUAGCUUGCUAAUCUGCUGACGAGUGGCGGACGGGUGAGUAAUGCUUGGGAAUCUGGCUUAUGGAGGGGGAUAACUACGGGAAACUGUAGCUAAUACCGCGUAAAAUCUUCGGAUUAAAGGGUGGGACUUUCGAGCCACCUGCCAUAAGAUGAGCCCAAGUGGGAUUAGGUAGUUGGUUAGGUAAAGGCUGACCAAGCCGACGAUCUCUAGCUGGUCUGAGAGGAUGACCAGCCACACUGGAACUGAGACACGGUCCAGACUCCUACGGGAGGCAGCAGUGGGGAAUAUUGCACAAUGGGGGGAACCCUGAUGCAGCCAUGCCGCGUGAAUGAAGAAGGCCUUCGGGUUGUAAAGUUCUUUCAGUGACGAGGAAGGUUGAUAGGUUAAUAGCCUAUCAAAUUGACGUUAAUCACAGAAGAAGCACCGGCUAACUCCGUGCCAGCAGCCGCGGUAAUACGGGGGGUGCGAGCGUUAAUCGGAAUAACUGGGCGUAAAGGGCACGCAGGCGGUGACUUAAGUGAGAUGUGAAAGCCCCGAGCUUAACUUGGGAAUUGCAUUUCAUACUGGGUCGCUAGAGUACUUUAGGGAGGGGUAGAAUUCCACGUGUAGCGGUGAAAUGCGUAGAGAUGUGGAGGAAUACCGAAGGCGAAGGCAGCCCCUUGGGAAUGUACUGACGCUCAUGUGCGAAAGCGUGGGGAGCAAACAGGAUUAGAUACCCUGGUAGUCCACGCUGUAAACGAUGUCGAUUUGGGGAUUGGGCUUUGAGCUUGGUGCCCGUAGCUAACGUGAUAAAUCGACCGCCUGGGGAGUACGGCCGCAAGGUUAAAACUCAAAUGAAUUGACGGGGGCCCGCACAAGCGG